RNAcentral lists this long non-coding RNA (1417 nucleotides) under Strigops habroptila (Kakapo). RNAcentral's name for it is "lncRNA (ENSSHBG00005014218.1)". Lineage: Eukaryota; Metazoa; Chordata; Aves; Psittaciformes; Psittacidae. The record is from RNAcentral.
UUUUUCCCUUAUUCUUACAGCAAAAUACAAAAUUAGUGCCAUAACUCUCUAUAGUAUAGAUUUUCUUACAUUAUUAACAACUUAAAAGCCAAGCGUUAGUAUUCAUAUAGCCUCAUUAAAAUGCUAUAAAAGUAUUCACAGACAAGAAGAUUCUAGUGGUUGAAUCCUGUGAACUUAAACAAUAACAUGUUCAUAUAAAUCUUGCACUUCAUCACUGCCCUUGCAGAGAAUGCUUUUGAAAAGCUGAAGCAGUAAAGGAGCUGAUAAUAUCCUAGGUUUAUGUAAUGCUUCUUUUCUUUAUUAUCAUUUCUUUGCAAGCUUCUCAAACAUGCUCAAACAGGUGAUGUAUGUUUUCCCUGUCAGCUCUCCUCCCUAACUAAAUAAUUUACUUUCUAAUGUAAUAAAUGUCGGGCGUAUGCUUCCCAGGAUGGAUGCUCGAAUCUAACAUUCCAUCAGGCAAGCUUUGAUUAUAGGGUUUAUUUAAUUAUGAAUCUACAAGGCAGACCUGGCACAAUACUUUCAUGAAACUAGUGUAUUAGUUAUCUUGAGGUAAAUCUCAUAAAAUACAGUCCAAAAAUGUACUGAAUUUAUAUCUCCUUUAUGUUCAACAAAUCAUGAUUUACUAGUUCUCAUUUCAAGAUGAAACUGAAGUUGGGUAUUUCCAAAUGUGAGUGCCUAAAUAUAUUAGGACACAUAUAUGACAUAACAUAAAAGGAGUAAUUUUCUGGAGUGUUCACUGUAUGAAACUACUGUUUAGGUUAAAGAGAUCUGAAGGUAAGGAACCUGCAGUAAAGACUCUGCAUGACCAACAUUUUUUGAAUUCAGACCAUUUCUAUGUAAAUUCCUGUGUUUGAAAAUAUUGGCCCUAGACUAUAGGCUAUACUAUUUCAAACAAAUAAAUGUGUCUCCGUCACCAGUGAUAAGUUCUAAAGUGUGUUAAAAAUGACUGCCAUUGAUGAAAACAGGACAGGUUUUACUCUCUGUAGUAAAUCCUAUGUUAUGCAUUAAAAGCUGAAAUUACUGUACUGCGGUAUGGUAACUGUUUUUAAAAUCACGAACUGCUAGGUGUACAAGAAAUUUCCUCAGUUGUUGUUUAAGAGCUACUAUAGAACAAUAGAAACUCUAGUGUAUGUAUGUUGCUUAAAAAUACCUUGCAAUGCAUGUAUUACACUUUACUUGUACAAACAGGUUUUACUGAAUAUUUAGCAAUUCCUGUAACACACCAGCCCAAAGUGUAUCAUCCUCUCAUCCAACUAAAAUAGAUCUGACAUUUUUCUGGCCUGGAGGGGCAAUUGUUGCAAUUGCUCUUCCAUUAUAAUUUAAAUUGCAUAUAGUACCACCAGUGGAAAGAGGAGAGGCUUCUUUGCCUUACCUUUUAUCUUUGCAAGAUCUGCAGUUAUAAAUUGAAGCAGAUUUU